AUCAUGGCCCGCCACACCACGGGCAACCUCCUCCUCAUGCACCACCUCUUGGGCCGCCGCCACCUCCUCCUCAUCAUCAUCAUCAUUAUCAAUAUAAUCAUCAUAAUUUUCCUCUUCAUCCAUCUGCAUCAUCAAUCCUUUUGAAUAAAUAAAACCAAGAUAUCAUCGUAUGAACAACAUAUAAAAACCAAAAACUGACUAACCAUCAGCUUCCCAUUGUCCAGGUCAUCGAAAUCUUCCAAAUCACUACCUCCAGUUUUUCUCGACUGCUUCUGUGAACCCAUUUUGAACCCUGAAAUUAAAAUUUUUAUUGGCCUAAUUGCAUGCAAAUACCUGAACUUUGACCCUUAUUUUUCUGAAAUUCUAUAAUGGAAUUUGUAUUUUUUUCAACUCUUAUCUCUGAUUAAAAUCUUAGGUGAAAUUAGUUCUUGCGAUUUCUGACAUGGCAGUCAACAUUAAAUCAGCAUGCCAUGAUCAUUAUAAAAAAUGCCACAUACAUAAUAUAUUAAUUUCUUCUUCUUCCUCACGUGAAUUUGUGCAGAGUUUUUCAUUAGAAUCGUUAAAAGUAAAACUAUUGCAAUGACAUAGGGAAUUAAAUAAAAACAAAUAACGGAAUAUAAUUUUUAGACUAUAUAUCCUUUAGCAAUAACAUUCAAGGACAUCAAUGCUAUGGUUAAUAUAGAAGAAAUGGGGAAAUUCUUUUGUUACUUUGCUUAAAACAAUGUAAAUAUACUUUGUAGAUAACCAUUAACCACUAUUAGAUGAAUUAAUAAUGGUUCAUCUAAUAACAAAAGCAACAAAGUGUAAAUAAGGAUAAUACAAAAAACAAAGCAAUCUUAUAAGGCACCAAGGAAAUUAUAAAUUCAGCACAAUACAAUCACAAGUUUGUUUAUUACUUCUGAUAUGUGGAAGAAUUCGAUAGUUGCAAAUUUUACAACUUAGGAUAUCGUUGGGAAAUUUAUGCCAUUGGCAGCAAAAUUUAAUCGCUUGCUUCUGCUUCACCAGACCAUUAAAAUUUAAAAUUUAAUGCCAUCAGAUGUGUGCACGGGUUUGCACAGUUCGGUUAUCCCCAAAUUGAGCCAAACUUCAGAUUUUUUUUCUUUUUCAGUAGGAACGAAGUUACUGAGCACCGAACUCAGUUGGUUCUUCAGUUCUUCACCAUAACCCACCGUUAAAAGACCCAAUGUUCUCCACCAGCUCCCCUAUAUCUUGGUUAUUCCGAAAUCUCCAACAUCAAACUCAUGCUUCAUGCUUAAUUUGAAGCACAAAUACAAUUGCAAAUAACAACAAAUAACAAAAAAGAGCUUAGGUUCCCAUUCCAUGAAAACCAUAUAGCCGAAACCCACAAAUCCCGUUCCAAGGAAAACAUUACCUAAAAAAAAUGGUGACCACAAAAUAAAUCUUGUAAUGAUUUAAAAUUACACAAAUCCAACCACAACUGCCCAAUCCCAUUGGGCAGCUGCUGAUCACAAGAGCAAAACAAUAGAUAACGCACCUAAGGUCGUGAUGGACAAAAGCAACUUUAAGAAUCCGAAAGGCAACUUCGUGAAGGACAGCAGCAGAAAGAUAUCGAGAGCAGCAGCACAAGGACUCAAAGUCAAGCCAUAGCAGCAGCUAUCGUCGACGGCAAGACAGAGGGCAUGGAGUAGUUCACCACGCGUGACUUGCCGAAGGAAUCAAUAGUAAGCCAAAGAAUCCGAGAGGCUGAAAAUAAAGGAAAUAUAUCGAGGGGCUGGGCGGCAGUGCAAAAAGAGAGCAGGGGGGAGAAUAAAAUUUUUAGGCUUUUAAUGUUUUAGCUUUUAGCCGUUCAAAAC
This 1814-nucleotide unclassified non-coding RNA is filed under the name Hevea brasiliensis (rubber tree). Lineage: Eukaryota; Viridiplantae; Streptophyta; Magnoliopsida; Malpighiales; Euphorbiaceae. The record is from RNAcentral.